GGAAAAGAACCUGGCGGCUAUAAUGGAAGCAAGGAGCCCGAAGAACGAAGUUGGAACUCACCGUAGCCCAGGGUUUGCUCUACUGGGGGCACCGGGUCGUCGUGCCACAGACAGCACGUGGAGCGAUGCUAAAAAUGCUGCACGAGACCCAUCAAGGAGCAUCGGCGAUGAAGGCGGUCGCGCGGACACUUCUUUGGUGGCCAGGGCUCGAUGGAACCCCGUAGCAAGCUGUGGCCCGGAAAUCCAGUUUGGGCCCGGAAC
Ixodes scapularis (black-legged tick) is the source of this 261-nucleotide long non-coding RNA. RefSeq lists it as uncharacterized. The transcript has 3 exons. Lineage: Eukaryota; Metazoa; Arthropoda; Arachnida; Ixodida; Ixodidae. The record is from RefSeq and is a predicted model, not a curated record.